AACGAACGCUGGCGGCAUGCCUAACACAUGCAAGUCGAACGAUGCUUUCGGGCAUAGUGGCGCACGGGUGCGUAACGCGUGGGAAUCUGCCCUUGGGUUCGGAAUAACAGUUGGAAACGACUGCUAAUACCGGAUGAAGACGAAAGUCCAAAGAUUUAUCGCCUGAGGAUGAGCCCGCGUAAGAUUAGGUAGUUGGUGGGGUAAAGGCCUACCAAGCCGACGAUCUUUAGCUGGUCUGAGAGGAUGAUCAGCCACACUGGGACUGAGACACGGCCCAGACUCCUACGGGAGGCAGCAGUGGGGAAUAUUGGACAAUGGGCGAAAGCCUGAUCCAGCAAUGCCGCGUGAGUGAUGAAGGCCUUAGGGUUGUAAAGCUCUUUUACCCGGGAUGAUGAUGACAGUACCGGGAGAAUAAGCCCCGGUUAACUCCGUGCCAGCAGCCGCAGUAA
RNAcentral lists this ribosomal RNA (449 nucleotides) under uncultured bacterium. RNAcentral's name for it is "partial 16S ribosomal RNA". It matches the Rfam family "Bacterial small subunit ribosomal RNA", at positions 29 to 523 of the family's 1533-position model. The record is from RNAcentral.